Triticum aestivum (bread wheat) is the source of this 238-nucleotide long non-coding RNA. RefSeq lists it as uncharacterized. The record is from RefSeq and is a predicted model, not a curated record. NCBI's taxonomy places the organism in Eukaryota, Viridiplantae, Streptophyta, Magnoliopsida, Poales, Poaceae. The transcript has 3 exons.
GUUUCUUGGCGAUUUAGAAUCUCGAUUGGAUCCGGGGGCUGUUUCUUCUCCGCGGCCCGGUGGUGGAGCGCCUUUCUCGGCAGCGGCUAUUGCGAAAUCUCGAUUGGAUAGGAGCGCGGGGGCUGAAUGAGAUGGAGCGAGGAGACAGUGCUUCAAAUCGGGGAGGUUCAGGUUCUGCCACCACAUUCGCAAUUAUAGUGGAAUUUUUUCCCUGUAAAGCCAAGCUCAGUGAUGGCAG